GCUCGCUGAGGAGCGGGAGCGCGCGCGGGCCACAAGACGCGCGCGGGAGGGGGCGGAACUUUUAUGGGCGGGACAUGUUGUUUGCGUCAUUGUGGGCGUGGUCAGGGACGGAGUACAGGAGUGAGCGAGCCACGUCCCUCAAUCCGCGUCUGCGGUGCUGCCUGCUACGUACCAGACGCUUCACCUCCAAACCGCUCUGAGGUUGGCUCCAGACGUCGCCUUGGAGGACUCAUCGGGAGACAGCAGGUGUCUAGUUUGGGGCAGCAAUUCUCUAGACAGUUCUGCAGCUCUCGGAUGGCAUAGUCCACUGCUAGUCCACGUGUCUCACAAAUUCACUCAGUGACUGUGAGCACCGACUCAGCUAGGAAUGAGGUUGGAGAGAGGAAAAAGGCGUCAAGGACCUGUCAGGCCAGUGCCAGAGAGAUGCAAACAGGCCUCUGUGGUCCUCUACGAAGGGCUUGGUUCUGGAGAGCAGAGGCAGGAGGAUCGCACUAGUUCAAGGUCAGCUUGGGGUACAUAGCAAGACCCGGUAAAAUAAAGAAUGGCAGGCAUAGAGGGCGCAGAACAUCCCCUGCCAAAUGAGAAGAAAAUGAGGCAGUAAAUUGUUUAAAUUACCAAGGACUUUGAAGAUCAUCAUUUUACAACUAAGGAAACUAAAUCUAGAGAAAUAGGUGAAAGAGCUUCCCUCCACCCCACUCAGGCUCUCCUUGAACUCACUAUGCAGCCCAGGCUGGCCUCAAACUGGCAGCCAUCCUCCUGCUCGGCCUCCGGAACACUGGGAUCACAGACAUGUACCGCCACCCCUGGCUGGUUACCUCCUCCUUGAGACUCACAACCAGAACCCGUGUUCUGACCUCCAGCCCAGUGCGUUUCCAUUCUGGUUCGUCCACACAAAAUGGAACCCGUGUACCAGGGACACUGCUAGGCCCAGUGGCAAAGAUGAGCAGGAGGUGCUCAUCUAGACCAUAGGCCUCCAAGCCAAAACUCAAAAAGAAGGAAAAAAAAAACCCUGUGGAGGCAGGCUUGCGGGAAGCUGGUCAGCAGCUAACUUUAAAUAUAUCCGUUCCUGUCAACAUGUUGUACACAUCCAUGGUACCACAGGCACCAAGGGGCUUUCGAGGUCUGGGUCUCCCUUCCUCAAUUGUCUGUCAGCCAUUCAGGUCCCUUCCUGCAAAACCACCAUUACCUGGUUCCAGAAACAGUUUAAGCAUGGCCAACUAUAUCCAUUUUUAAAACACCACUAUAAUAGAUACCCUGGAGGAGGAGCAGGAGGAUCUACAGCUCAGGGGCAGCCUAGGAAACUCAACAAAUUAACAAAAGAAAUUUAUUUUCAAAAAUAACAUUUAGGGUCUGGGGAUUUAGCUCAGCCGCAUAAGCGCCUACCUGGCAAGCAUGAGCUCAUGGGUUUGACCCCCAGUACCAAAAAAAUAAGUAAAUAAAAAUAAAAUUUAAAAAGGACUGAGGAGAGGAGAACUCAGUGACAGAGCCUCUCCCUAGAUGUGUGAAGCCCUGGGGUCAGUCACCGCCAAAUUUUAAAAAAUCAACUUCAUGAAUAUCUGUGCUUCUGUGUCUUACUCACAGUCUGCUCGGUUUUUCCGGGAAGUCCCCCAGGAACCACCUAGAAAGGAAGCAAUAAUCCUUGGCUGGGGUGCUCUGCUAUCCAGUCCCCUUUAGCAGGGCUGUACAUGACAUCAUUAUUUGUCCCUCUGCCACUUGUCCCCAUACCAGGGACCAAUAGGGACCUAGAAGAAGUUUUUUGCCAGGAUUAUUGGCCAUUACUGAAUAUUCCCAAUUCAGCUCUCAUCCCUAGGACCCUCAACUUCUUCCAUUUCGGGCUGUUUUUCCUUGACCACCCCAAGCAGAGAAUCAGACUGAUAUCUGAUACCACCUAUGUAAAACAAUACGGACCUCAUGCUUAAGGCAUCCUCACCAAUGAGUCAUCACGCCCGAUGAAUGAGUUGUUUUUGUUGGUUGAAAAGAAAACUCACGCUCUACAAAAAUAUGACCACAGCAGGGUCCACAUUCUCACCAACAGUGUUAAAAUGUUAUCUUUCCUUGCCACGCUGAAGAUCCAAGACAAAAUGGAUCAGGAGCCAAUCCAUGCUUUUUUAUACUUUUGUUUUUUUGUGGCGCUAGGGAUCAAAACAGGACCUCCUGUUUGCUGGGCAACCAUUCCACCACCACUUAAGCAGUAGCCUGCCCAUUUUAUUUAGAGACAAUUCUACAUUAACAUACAGUUGUAAGAAAUAAUGUAGUGACCUUCCUGUAUCCCUUAUCCAAGUCCCUCCAACGCUAACAUUUUAUAAAACUGCAGCACAAUAUUACGAUGAAGGUUCCGCUUUGCAGUUUAGGCUGGUCUUGAACUCACUUCGUAGCCCAAGCUGGCCCUGAACUCACAGUGAUACUCCUGCCUUGGUUUUCUGAGUGCUGGGAUUACAGGCCUGUGUCACCGUGCCGGGCCCAUGUUGCCCUCUUAGAGCCACCCCACCUUCAUCUCCAGCAGCAAAUAAUCUUCUGUAUAAUAUUGUCAUUUCAAGAUACUGUGUGCACGCAUGCGUGUACAUAUCUGGUAUAGUGGUACAUUCCUACAGUUCCAGCUGCUCAGAAGGACUAGGAAGGAUGACCAGUUGAGUCAGGAAUUUGAGGGCAGCGUGGGCAACAAGAUGAGCUCAGGUCUUUUACAGAGGAAAAUGAACGUGAAAUCCUGUAGCAGGUAACCUCCUGAGAUUAGGCUUUUUUUUUUUUCCCCUUCAGCGUUACAGACUGAAACCAACACCUCCUGCAUAUUAAGCAAAUACCCUAACACUGAGCUACACCCCCUGCCCAGGGAUUUGAUUACUUUUUAAUCAGCACAAUCCUCGGAAGUUUCAUCUCAGUAGUUAAGCAUAUCAGUGUUCUCUUCAGUGCUGAGUCACAUUCUGUGGUACUGGAUGUACUAAGUUCGCCCAUUUAUUAACCGGUUGGAGGACUUCUGGGUUGUUUCCAGCGUUUUAUGAUAAAUAAAGCUUGCUUUGCUGGGGGUUUAGCUCAGCAGCAUCAGUGCCUGCUUGGCAAGCACAAGGUUCUGAGUUCGAUCCCCGGUACCAAAAAAAGAAAAGGAAAAUUAAAGAUGAUUAUUUAUUAAAAAAAAAAUAAAAAAUAAAGCUUGCUUUAAGUAUUUGUUUUCAGGUAUUUGUGCAAACAUAAGUAUUCGUUUUGUCAGGAUAAGUGCCCAGGAGUGCAAUAACCGGGUUGUCUGGUGGCUGAGUGUUUAUUUAAAAUCUGCCCGGCUAUAGCCAGUAACUGUCACUCCCACAAGCAGUACGAGUACAGUUGUUUGUGUAAUUUCAGCAGCUACUGCUACCACUGAGUGUAGUGUAGCCAUUCUGAUAGGGGCUCGUCGGGGUUUGCGUUCUUAACUUUGUUUUGGUUGGGUUGGGUUGGGUUUGAUUUUUUGAAACAGGGUCUCACCAUGUAGGUCAGGCUGGCAAUAAACUCACUGUGUAGCCCAGGCUGGGCUCAAGGAUUGCUUAAUCCUCCUGUCUCAGCCUCCCGAGUGCUGGGAUUACAGGCGUGAGCCACAGUGCCCGGCUCUCAACCUUCAUGAUUUCUGAUAAGAAACCUGCUGUCCUUCAGCCUGCUUUCCCCAAUAGAUAAGGUGGUCUUUCUUUGUGGCUGCUUGGUUGCUUAUGUGUGCAUGUACGUUUGUAUGCAAGUAUGUACAUGUAACUAUAGUUUCCAGAAGUUUGACUAGGAAGUGAGAAUUUCUUUUGCGUUUAUCCUUAUUGAAGAACCCAGGGCCUUCUCACCGAGCUACAUCCCCAGCCCUUUUUAAAGUUUCAUUUACCACAAGGUCUCACUGUGUCCUUAAACUGCCCAGGCUGGGUUUGAAUGUGCAGUGUCCUUGCCUGCAGCCUGCUGGGGUUACUGUGCACUGCUGUACCAGCUUCAGCUUCUGGACUGUGUAGAUUUCUGUCUCUGGUAACUUGGGAACGUUGUUCUGGGUCCAGCUCUAACCAGUUCCUUUUGUUAUGCUUUCAGACCGGCCUUGAAAUGUGUUUUUGUUUGUUUGUUUCUUUUUUUAUCGGUACCGGGGAUCGAACUCACGACCACCUGCUUGCAAGGCAGGUACUUAUGCAGCUGAACUAAAUCUCAGCCCCUAAUUUUUGUUUUUAAUUAUCUGUCUUUUUCAGUUUCCACAAUUCACAGUGGAUUUUCAAGUUUUUCCACUUACAUUCUAAAACUUUUUUUCUUUGCUUGACACACUGGGGAUUCGCAUAGAACUGCGUCCCCAGCCCUGUUUUCCGUUUUUUUUUUUUUUUGUUGUUUGUUUGUUUGUUGUUGUUGUUGUUUUGUUUUUUGUCUUUUUCGUUUUUAUCCGCACCAGGGAUCGAACUCACGACUGCCUGCUUGCAAGGCAGGCGCUUAUGCCGCUGAGCUAAAUCUCCAACCCCCCUGUUUUCGUUUUUCAUUUGAUACAGUUUCUUACUAAGUCACUUAACUGACCAGGUUGGGCUCCAACUUUCCAUCCUUCUGCCUCAGCCUCCCAGAGAGCUGGGAUUAUAGGUGUGCACUACCACAUGUGACUCUGCGGAGGUCUGUUUGCUUCCACUAUGUUCAUAAUUGAGCAUUUUCACAAUGGCUUUGUGCUGAUAUCUUUUUUUUUUUUUUUACAUGAAGAUCUUGCUAACUCCUGGUGUGACAAUGAUGUUGAGGUGAAAUCUGGGAGUUCUUGCACCCUGUUCUGACACCUGGCUCUUCUUUAAACUCUGGGUUUUGUGGACGCUUUCUCACACUGGUCAGGCAGAAGGUGCGGACCUCUUGUUCCUCCUGCUAGGGAAACAGGCAAAAUCCCAGAUCACUCUGCCUCCUUAGACACCCAGGCUAGGGUUUCCUCGUUGCUGCAGGGGACAGGGAGGAGUUCUGGCUCCCAGUCAGACUUUCAGGAAUAGACCCCGGCCGGAAAGGGCAGUGUGCUUCGUUACUGCCCCCACGCCACCCCCGGGGGCCUUCACUGGCAUGGGUUCCUGGGCAGCGAUGGAAGCCCUGACAAUACCUCCUCUGUUGGUACCGUGGUCAGGAGGUGGCCGUGCCUGCGUCCUGGAAGGGAAGGAUAAUCUCAGCUCCUUGAAUGAGCUUCUCUAAUCCCGGAUCAGGCAGGAUUUGGGGCACUUCUGACAGCGCCAGUGAGGCGGAAAUCAAACCUCCCCGCUCAGCCUUCGCUGGUCUGAGUUGCACAGCACUUCUGGUCUGAGUUCUCUUGCUAACAACGCAGCUUCCCUGGUCCUCUGGUCGUGCCGACCGGGCUUUUCUGGCGCAUGCGCUUUGUCUCUGCCCACCAGUAUGUUUUGGAUGGCAGCUGCUUCAGUUCCAAGUUAGGGCUAGCAGGCCGCCCACACCCACCCUGAGAACCCACCACGUCGUCCUUAGGGCCUGAGUUCCUAACAGCCUCCUGAGUGCUGGGAUUACAGGCAUGUGCCACCAUGCCCAGCAUCUGUGACCAGCCCCGAGACACAGAAGCAACUGGACCUGAGACAGGAACUGCCACCUGGGCUAUUGAAGUAGACUGGCUGGGUGGGUCUUAUCUGCCACAAUAUGAAAUCAUCACUGCCGUCAAGAGGCCUGAGCAGAUGAAAAAGGGGAAAUGAAGCAUUUAAAUAUAAAGAAUCCCAACAUCUGGCGUCCAAACAGGGACUCAACAGCAGAGACGUCUGCUGUGGAGUGUGACUUGCCUUCGCUGUGUUCCCGGGGUAGGACAUGGCCCCCACGAUGUGUCGACUUCAUUUGCUUUGAAAAAUCCCCGGGCCCUUCAGGCACAGCUCACACACGCACCACAGUGACGGUGGAUCCAGUGCCCGCUCUUCCCACUCAUCUUUCACCCAGCCCCUCUGCCCACAGCGGCUCUUGGUGCCAUCCAGAGCGACAAGAUACUUAUUAUCAAACGGUUACAUUUUCCCCGCUCGCCUGGUGGUACUGUAUUUCCCAUUAUCAAUGCUAAUUCAUGUCUUAUCUCUCCAGGAUGUACUCACAUACACACAUUCCCUCGAAUUUAUCGCACUAAAACUGUUUUACCACUUAGCAAAACUGACUUCUCCCUUUUGCUGUCCCCUACUGUUUCUCUUUAAGUCUCUUUGGCUAUGUUGGUUCCAUUUCUUUCAAAACGCCCCCAGUCCCAGGCUGGCAGGGCCCGGGCGCCCCUGCUGACCUGGGGAGGAGGAGAUGCUUCUGUGUUAUCCCCACAGGGUUCCUGCUUGUUGCAUUCACCAUGCACAAAACAAGUUGACACCACGGGCUACACAACGCAGUUCCACAGUUUCGCCUCUCCCUAAACCAAGCCUGGCCUCCUUAAAAGCGACCCAAGACAACUGCUUGCCAGUGACGUGGGUGACAUAGAUACAUCUAAAGAAAAAUCCACUGCUCAUCAGCUUCUUGAGGCGGUAUUUACCAAAUUGACAAUAAACUCUUUAAUGCCUGUU
Long non-coding RNA from Cavia porcellus (domestic guinea pig), 6455 nucleotides. RefSeq lists it as uncharacterized. Lineage: Eukaryota; Metazoa; Chordata; Mammalia; Rodentia; Caviidae. The record is from RefSeq and is a predicted model, not a curated record. The transcript has 5 exons.